This 890-nucleotide ribosomal RNA is filed under the name uncultured Comamonadaceae bacterium. RNAcentral's name for it is "bacterial SSU rRNA". The stretch from base 1 to 777 matches the Rfam family "Bacterial small subunit ribosomal RNA". Lineage: Bacteria; Pseudomonadati; Pseudomonadota; Betaproteobacteria; Burkholderiales; Comamonadaceae. The record is from RNAcentral.
GACGAACGCUGGCGGCGUGCCUAAUACAUGCAAGUAGAACGCUGAAGGAGGGGCUUGCUUCUCCGGAUGAGUUGCGAACGGGUGAGUAACGCGUAGGUAACCUGCCUGGUAGCGGGGGAUAACUAUUGGAAACGAUAGCUAAUACCGCAUAACAGUAGAUAUUGCAUGAUAUCUGCUUGAAAGGUGCAAUUGCAUCACUACCAGAUGGACCUGCGUUGUAUUAGCUAGUUGGUGAGGUAACGGCUCACCAAGGCGACGAUACAUAGCCGACCUGAGAGGGUGAUCGGCCACACUGGGACUGAGACACGGCCCAGACUCCUACGGGAGGCAGCAGUAGGGAAUCUUCGGCAAUGGACGGAAGUCUGACCGAGCAACGCCGCGUGAGUGAAGAAGGUUUUCGGAUCGUAAAGCUCUGUUGUAAGAGAAGAACGAGUGUGAGAGUGGAAAGUUCACACUGUGACGGUAUCUUACCAGAAAGGGACGGCUAACUACGUGCCAGCAGCCGCGGGAAUACGUAGGUCCCGAGCGUUGUCCGGAUUUAGUGGGCGUAAAGCGAGUGCAGGCGGUUGGAUAAUCUGAAGUUAAAGGCGUGUGGCUUAACCCUAGUACGCUUUGGAAAAUUGUUUACUUGGAGUGCAGAUGUGAGAGUGGGAAUUCCGUUGUGUAGCGGUGAAAUGCUUAUAUAUAUGGAGUAACACCGGUGGCGUGAUGUGCGUCUCUGGUUGAUGUUGAGCUGAGGGUCGGUGGGGCGGUACUGACUGUGUGAGAUCCUGUGUUGUGCAAGGAUAUCUCGUGUGGUGUGUGAUGCUGUGUGAUCGGUGGCCGGGGGGAAAAAAAAAAAAAAUGGUGUUGUUUCUUUAUGCGUGUGGUUGCCGCCAUGGUGUGGUUGA